Tupaia belangeri (northern tree shrew) is the source of this 190-nucleotide small nuclear RNA. Its record names the gene U2. It matches the Rfam family "U2 spliceosomal RNA". From Rfam's summary of the family: U2 is a small nuclear RNA (snRNA) component of the spliceosome (involved in pre-mRNA splicing). The record is from Ensembl. NCBI's taxonomy places the organism in Eukaryota, Metazoa, Chordata, Mammalia, Scandentia, Tupaiidae.
AUCGCUUCUUAGCCUUUUGGCUAAGAUUAAGUGUAGUAUCUGUUCUCAUCAGCUUAAUGUCUGAUACGUCUUCUAUCUGAGGACAAUAUAUUAAAUGGAUGUUGGAAAUAGGAGAUGGAAUAGCAGCUUGCUCCGACAACUCUAUGCAUUGACCUGGCAGUGCAGUACUUCCAGGAAUAGUGCACCACCC